This 700-nucleotide ribosomal RNA is filed under the name uncultured Nitrospira sp. RNAcentral describes it as "bacterial SSU rRNA". It matches the Rfam family "Bacterial small subunit ribosomal RNA", at positions 62 to 754 of the family's 1533-position model. The record is from RNAcentral. Lineage: Bacteria; Pseudomonadati; Nitrospirota; Nitrospiria; Nitrospirales; Nitrospiraceae.
UCGAGCGAGAAGACGUAGCAAUACGUUUGUAAAGCGGCGAACGGGUGAGGAAUACAUGGGUAACCUACCCUCGAGUGGGGAAUAACUAGCCGAAAGGUUAGCUAAUACCGCGUACGCUCCUUGGACUUCGGUUCAGGGAGGAAAGCGAUACCGUGGGUAUCGCGCUCUUGGAUGGGCCCAUGUCCUAUCAGCUUGUUGGUGAGGUAACGGCUCACCAAGGCUUCGACGGGUAGCUGGUCUGAGAGGACGAUCAGCCACACUGGCACUGCGACACGGGCCAGACUCCUACGGGAGGCAGCAGUAAGGAAUAUUGCGCAAUGGGCGAAAGCCUGACGCAGCGACGCCGCGUGGGGGACGAAGGUCUUCGGAUUGUAAACCCCUUUCGGGAGGGAAGAUGGAAUGGGGUAACCCAUUCGGACGGUACCUCCAGAAGCAGCCACGGCUAACUUCGUGCCAGCAGCCGCGGUAAUACGAAGGUGGCAAGCGUUGUUCGGAUUUACUGGGCGUACAGGGAGCGUAGGCGGUUCGGUAAGCCCUUUGUGAAAUCUCCAGGCUUAACCUGGAACAGUCGGAGGGGACUGCUGGGCUAGAGGACGGGAGAGGAGCGCGGAAUUCCCGGUGUAGCGGUGAAAUGCGUAGAGAUCGGGAGGAAGGCCGGUGGCGAAGGCGGCGCUCUGGAACGUUUCUGACGCUGAGGCUC